This 2536-nucleotide long non-coding RNA is filed under the name Dendronephthya gigantea. RNAcentral's name for it is "uncharacterized LOC114535245, transcript variant X2". The record is from RNAcentral. Lineage: Eukaryota; Metazoa; Cnidaria; Anthozoa; Malacalcyonacea; Nephtheidae.
GAUAUUUGUAGCUGUUUCUUUGAUGCCGCUUUGUAUAAAUUCGACUUUGUAGCAGACCAGCUCUACAUUCUCGCAAUGGCAUGCACAAGAGAGCACACUACAGACGGGGAGAGAGCAACUUCAUGCACGUUUAAAAUAGUAAUGAUUCUUCUGGCCUGGAACCUAAUUCCCACUGCCUUGGUAAUCACAGCCUUUGUGGAGCUACGAAGCAAUUUAAAAGGGGAACUAGAACGCGGUAUCAAAGUGAAUGAGUCACGGCCUGCACUGGUGCACUUAACCGGGCAUCACAGCGACCGGGGAAAAUUGAAUGAUGAAGUGCUGGAUAUUUGGAAAACGGCAAGUUCUAAAAUGACUUCGCUUGGUGCCAACCUGAGUUCAAUCAUAAUAAAGGAAAGCGGCAACUACUUUGUCUAUGCUCAGCUAUACUUUCAAGUUCCAUUCAACUCAAAGCUGGACAAGUUCGACCAGAGCUACUUGGCAUUUUUCGUUUGUCGAAUAUCCAAAGCCACAACGAGUAUCUUGAUGCGAGCCGUGGCAUCAAACGGCUUCCAAGGGAAGAAGAAUGGUCUGUAUACCUCAUAUUCCGGUAGUGUUCACCAACUUAAAGAGGGAGAUGUACUGUUUGUUAGUGUAGUUAAAAAACAACGCGUCGUGGUAAACGCAAACGAAAGCAGCUCCUUUUUUGGAGCUUUUAAACUUUAAUUUUAUAUUUAUUUUAGUAUUGACAUAUCACAAAUCUUUUAGAAGCAAGGCAACAACAUCCUAGUCCAGAAUGAAUGCAAUCGACAGCGUAUUGCAAUAUUGAUAACAUAGUAAACACCGUCUGUGUAGAAAACUUCGACGACACUAAAGAUUGUUUCGACCAGGCAGAAAGCGAGCUAGAGCCAAGUCGGAAGCGUGUUCGGAUGGAAAGACACACCCCGUCUUCUGAAAGAAAAAGAUGAGGAACAGGAGACUGUUUUUCUCUGUGCGCGCUCGAAAGUGUCUAAAUAAAAUAGACAAAAUCCAUACCGUUUCAAUCUCCCGCCAAAAUUACAUCGCCGCGCGCCUCCACAAGCGCUCUCAUUAAAUCUAAAGAAAUAACGCCACAAGAAAAAAAGCGUCGCAUUAAAACAAAAGGUGGCCAAUUCAUGAAAUCCCGGAAUGUUGUUGCGUAUGCCUAUCAGGAAAACAUCAACGAAGUUAUCGGCAAUUUGGCAUCAAUUUGUUGUGGUUGGGGCAACGGAUGUGAUCUUCUCAAGACUGGAGGCCAAAGAAGCAUUCAACACGACUCUUUCGAAACAAAGCCAGUCAAUUCUCCUAAAAUCCAUUCGAAUGCCAGAUUGGGCCUAUCUUCUUUUGAGAAUCAGAACAAAAAUUUCAGAUGCUUUCAGAUGGAAGACCCUAUACUUAACCUUACCCAACUUGGAUCACCUAGGAAAACCACAGACUUCGCCAUUCUUCCAACAAAGAACCAAAUUUGUGCAAUGAAAGUGGUGCUGUUUGGCGCUACUUACGACACUGUUGGAACUAGUGAAUUACCUGAUGGGCUCCUAGAUGCACAAGUAAACCUAGUUUCUGUGUUGGUAUGGGGUAUUCGGGAAAUGCGAUUGCAUCAAGUAGAUGGCAGUGGCAACGACCGAACGCUACAUUUCAAUUUCAAACUGGAUGUAGACCUUUUUGGGGUAAAGAACUGAUAUCGUUCGGUGUGGUAUGCAUGCAGAUGAAGCUGGAGUCACAUCUCGCAAAAGACAAAUGUCCAUUUUUGCAUUUUGAUUCUGAAAUGAAUAUUCAAGAAGAGCUCCUUUCUUUUUUACAGCGCAAAUGGGCUUCGAGUGAAGAAGUAUUGAUUACACAAGUUAAUCUUAGAUGCCUUACAAACAAGUGUCUAUUGUGAAUGUGGAGCGAAAGGUGAAUGAGUCACGGCCUGCACUGGUGCACUUAACCGGGCAUCACAGCGACCGGGGAAAAUUGAAUGAUGAAGUGCUGGAUAUUUAGAAAACGGCAAGUUCUAAAAUGACUUCGCUUGGUGCCAACCUGAGUUCAAUCAUAAUAAAGGAAAGCGGCAACUACUUUGUCUAUGCUCAGCUAUACUUUCAAGUUCCAUUCAACUCAAAGCUGGACAAGUUCGACCAGAGCUACUUGGCAUUUUUCGUUUGUCGAAUAUCCAAAGCCACAACGAGUAUCUUGAUGCGAGCCGUGGCAUCAAACGGCUUCCAAGGGAAGAAGAAUGGUCUGUAUACCUCAUAUUCCGGUAGUGUUCACCAACUUAAAGAGGGAGAUGUACUGUUUGUUAGUGUAGUUAAAAAACAACGCGUCGUGGUAAACACAAACGAAAGCAGCUCCUUUUUUGGAGCUUUUAAACUUGAAUUUUAUAUUUAUUUUAGUAUUGACAUAUCACAAAUCUUUUAGAAGCAAACAUGUUUCGGCAAACUGUCAUCUUCAGUACGAUGUGUAAGUGCGAUGUGUGCAAUUUAGAUAUAAAUGCAAGGUCUUUGCUGGCACGUGUUAUACACAUAUGAUACAAACAUGAAAUGUCGAAGCCAUGAAAGCGGAA